AACCUGGUUGAUCCUGCCAGUAGUCAUAUGCUUGUCUCAAAGAUUAAGCCAUGCAUGUCUAAGUAUAAACUGCUUUAUGCUGUGAAACUGCGAAUGGCUCAUUAAAUCAGUUAUAGUUUAUUUGAUGGUACCUACUUACUCGGAUACCCGUAGUAAUUCUAGAGCUAAUACGUGCGUACAUCCCGACUUCUGGAAGGGACGUAUUUAUUAGAUAAAAGGCCGACCGGGCUUGCCCGACUCGCGGUGAUUCAUGAUAACUUCACGAAUCGCAUGGCCUCGCGCCGGCGAUGUUUCAUUCCAAAUUUCUGCCCCUAUCAACUUUUGAUGGUAGGAUAGAGGCCUACCAUGGUGGUAACGGGUGACGGAG
Molecule: ribosomal RNA, 367 nt
Filed under: uncultured marine eukaryote
Lineage: Eukaryota
Description: SSU rRNA
Rfam family: Eukaryotic small subunit ribosomal RNA
Source: RNAcentral